ACGUCUGCGCAUUAGCUGUACGACGCCCCAAUCGUCCUUUGUCGAAGCCCUGAGACCCACCUUUUGCCGUAACAAAAGGACAUGGUCAUCCAAUCAGGAUUGAGUCUGCUAUGGGCGGGUCCAGGAAAAACAACAGCCAAUAGUAGCACAGAAGCGAAGUUAGGCGUGAGAAAGCAAGUCCUUGGAAAGCAACCCUUCAGUCUCAGCAGGAGCCUGAAAAUUGGGGUCAGAAAUCCAGUAUGGAAAAUUCUGACAGCUGUCAAGGAAGGAGGUUAUUGAAUUCAUUGGAGAAUGCGUGCUCUCCUAAAUUUGUCCAGGAUCUUCAUAUUUGCAUAACAUGAAGCACACAUGAAACAUCACCUAUAGUGACAUGCAGUGUGACCUCAUCAUAACAUAUGCUUCUGACGACUAAAGAAGAUUUUCAGAAUAAACUAGAAGAUACCAUGAAUGUCAUCUGGGGGCCAUCUGGGGGAACUGCUGGUGACUGGAGAGCAUGUAUUCCCUUUGAGAUGGUAUACUACUGACCUCUAGUGGCAGAAUUGAUUCAAGGUCAGAUGACUUCCAAUUGACGUUUGACCUCACCAGCAUGAGAGACACCCAAGAGAGAACUACCCAGCUAAGCCAUUCCUGAAUCUCUGAGCCAUAAAAGUCAUGUGAAAAAUAAAGUGAAGGUUGCUUUACAACA
Molecule: long non-coding RNA, 685 nt
Organism: Suricata suricatta (meerkat)
Lineage: Eukaryota; Metazoa; Chordata; Mammalia; Carnivora; Herpestidae
Exons: 4
Source: RefSeq, a predicted model, not a curated record